CUAGAGAUUAGUUUGAUCCUGGCUCAGAGCGAACGCUAGCGGCAGGCCUAACACAUGCAAGUCGAACGAACUCUUCGGAGUUAGUGGCGGACGGGUGAGUAACACGUGGGAACGUGCCUUUAGGUUCGGAAUAACUCAGGGAAACUUGUGCUAAUACCGAAUGUGCCCUUCGGGGGAAAGAUUUAUCGCCUUUAGAGCGGCCCGCGUCUGAUUAGCUAGUUGGUGAGGUAAUGGCUCACCAAGGCGACGAUCAGUAGCUGGUCUGAGAGGAUGAUCAGCCACAUUGGGACUGAGACACGGCCCAAACUCCUACGGGAGGCAGCAGUGGGGAAUCUUGCGCAAUGGGCGAAAGCCUGACGCAGCCAUGCCGCGUGAAUGAUGAAGGUCUUAGGAUUGUAAAAUUCUUUCACCGGGGACGAUAAUGACGGUACCCGGAGAAGAAGCCCCGGCUAACUUCGUGCCAGCAGCCGCGGUAAUACGAAGGGGGCUAGCGUUGCUCGGAAUUACUGGGCGUAAAGGGAGCGUAGGCGGACAUUUAAGUCAGGGGUGAAAUCCCGGGGCUCAACCUCGGAAUUGCCUUUGAUACUGGGUGUCUUGAGUAUGAGAGAGGUGUGUGGAACUCCGAGUGUAGAGGUGAAAUUCGUAGAUAUUCGGAAGAACACCAGUGGCGAAGGCGACACACUGGCUCAUUACUGACGCUGAGGCUCGAAAGCGUGGGGAGCAAACAGGAUUAGAUACCCUGGUAGUCCAC
RNAcentral lists this ribosomal RNA (751 nucleotides) under uncultured Brevundimonas sp. RNAcentral describes it as "bacterial SSU rRNA". It matches the Rfam family "Bacterial small subunit ribosomal RNA", at positions 1 to 798 of the family's 1533-position model. Lineage: Bacteria; Pseudomonadati; Pseudomonadota; Alphaproteobacteria; Caulobacterales; Caulobacteraceae. The record is from RNAcentral.